RNAcentral lists this ribosomal RNA (497 nucleotides) under uncultured bacterium. RNAcentral's name for it is "bacterial SSU rRNA". It matches the Rfam family "Bacterial small subunit ribosomal RNA", at positions 28 to 506 of the family's 1533-position model. The record is from RNAcentral.
GAUGAACACUGGCGGCGUGCCUAAUACAUGCAAGUCGAACGCGCAGCGAAAGGUGCUUGCACCUUUCAAGCGAGUGGCGAACGGGUGAGUAACACGUGGAUAACCUGCCUCAAGGCUGGGGAUAACAUUUGGAAACAGAUGCUAAUACCGAAUAAAACUUAGUAUCGCAUGAUACAAAGUUGAAAGGCGCUACGGCGUCACCUAGAGAUGGGUCCGCGGUGCAUUAGUUAGUUGGUGGGUAAGGCCUACCAAGACAAUGAUGCAUAGCCGAGUUGAGAGACUGAUCGGCCACAUUGGGACUGAGACACGGCCCAAACUCCUACGGGAGGCUGCAGUAGGGAAUCUUCCACAAUGGGCGAAAGCCUGAUGGAGCAACGCCGCGUGUGUGAUGAAGGCUUUAGGGUCGUAAAGCAACUGUUGUAUGGGAAGAAAUGCUAGAAUAGGGAAUGAUUCUAAGUUCGACGGUACCAUACCAGAAAAGGACGGACUAAAUACGU